GAUUCUCCUGCCUCAGCCUCCCAAGUAGCUGGGAUUACAGGUGCCUGCCGCCAUACCUGGAUCUGGCAACACCAGGCUGGCCUUCCUGUGAUACGAGAAGAAGCUGGAGCUGAAUAGGAGCUGCUCCCUUGGCCAGGGGCUCUCUACUUUGCCUCAGUCCCCACUACUCCCUAUUGCACCAGAUUCGACCUUCUUCAUAGUCAUGCACGUUUGCCACCUGGGCCUGUGGGAGUUUGCUGAUGAGGAAAUGAAGACCCAGGGAAGCUAUCUCUUGAGCACGUCAUGCAGCUGGCGAAGGGUGGAGCAGGGCUUCCAAUGCAGACCUUUCCAACUCCACUGUCCCUGCUCUCCUGCGUGCCCUUUCCUGCCUUUUCUCAAGGGAGACCAUGAGAUCAAGAAAAAAGAUUUUCUUCUCCACGGCAAUUGAAGUGUUGACUUUGACAAUGAAAGCUACAGAAUGUAUGACGUUUCCCUUUUGGCCUUGCUUGCCAAGAAGCUUGUGCUUUUUGUCAAACUGUUUCCUUCCCCUUUCCAUGGUUUUGGUCUUCUACCUUUGACAGCCUUUUAUUCACGUGUCUUUUACUGUAAGCUCUUCUACUCAUAGAAUAAGCUGAAUAUUUAAAUAGAGAUUGAAUUGA
Piliocolobus tephrosceles (Ugandan red Colobus) is the source of this 638-nucleotide long non-coding RNA. RefSeq lists it as uncharacterized. NCBI's taxonomy places the organism in Eukaryota, Metazoa, Chordata, Mammalia, Primates, Cercopithecidae. The record is from RefSeq and is a predicted model, not a curated record. The transcript has 4 exons.